GCCCCCGUAGCUCAGUGGAUAGAGCGCCGGCCUCCGGAGCCGGAAGCGGGAGUUCGACUCUCCCCGGGGGUACCA
RNAcentral lists this transfer RNA (75 nucleotides) under Dehalococcoidia bacterium. Its description in RNAcentral is "tRNA-Arg". It matches the Rfam family "tRNA". Rfam says of the family: Transfer RNA (tRNA) molecules are approximately 80 nucleotides in length. Their secondary structure includes four short double-helical elements and three loops (D, anti-codon, and T loops). Further hydrogen bonds mediate the characteristic L-shaped molecular structure. tRNAs have two regions of fundamental functional importance: the anti-codon, which is responsible for specific mRNA codon recognition, and the 3' end, to which the tRNAs corresponding amino acid is attached (by aminoacyl-tRNA synthetases). tRNAs cope with the degeneracy of the genetic code in two manners: having more than one tRNA (with a specific anti-codon) for a particular amino acid; and 'wobble' base-pairing, i.e. permitting non-standard base-pairing at the 3rd anti-codon position. The record is from RNAcentral. Lineage: Bacteria; Bacillati; Chloroflexota; Dehalococcoidia.